UAGGUGUCGGGGGUUACCCCCUUCGGUGCCGCAGCUAACGCAUUAAGUACUCCGCCUGGGAAGUACGCUCGCAAGAGUGAAACUCAUAGGAUGUGGCGGGGACCCGCACAAGUAGCUUAGCAGGGGGGUUAAUGCGAAGCAACGCGAAGAACCUUACCUAAGAUUGACAUCCCAAUGACAUCUCCUUAAUCGGAGAGUUCCCUUCGGGGACAUUGGUGACAGGUGGUGCAUGGUUGUCGUCAGCUCGUGU
Molecule: ribosomal RNA, 250 nt
Filed under: Clostridioides difficile
Lineage: Bacteria; Bacillati; Bacillota; Clostridia; Peptostreptococcales; Peptostreptococcaceae
Description: partial 16S ribosomal RNA
Rfam family: Bacterial small subunit ribosomal RNA
Source: RNAcentral